CUUUGCAUACCCAUGGAAGAUUGGAAGUGGCACUAAUAGUCUGGGGGCGGCGAUGGUGUUCUUCAGAGGAAGCUUAGCAGUAGGACAUAAGGCUGAUGUCAAUUCUGUAGAUCCCCAACAGUCUCUCUGUUGACUUUCAAGGCUCAAAAGUUCUCUGCAUUUCUCUUCUGUGAGCAUCAAACAAUUCAAAGGAGAUAGAAAUUAAGGUACCACCUUGCAAAUCAGUUCAGUUCAUCUCGAGUACGUCCAAUACUUUCCUUUCCUGGUUGGCUUUCUUUCAUUCUUUCUUCGCCUUGCGUAUUCUGUUGAUCGAGUUAUGUCUUAUUUCCGUACGUUGUUUCCUUGUCAAGUUUGUUAUUGCUUACCUUGAUUGUGCAUGCUUCCUCAGUUCAUUACUCAAAACAAAAACAAA
Argentina anserina (silverweed cinquefoil) is the source of this 412-nucleotide long non-coding RNA. RefSeq lists it as uncharacterized. The record is from RefSeq and is a predicted model, not a curated record. NCBI's taxonomy places the organism in Eukaryota, Viridiplantae, Streptophyta, Magnoliopsida, Rosales, Rosaceae. The transcript is spliced from 2 exons.